RNAcentral lists this unclassified non-coding RNA (583 nucleotides) under Hevea brasiliensis (rubber tree). The record is from RNAcentral. Lineage: Eukaryota; Viridiplantae; Streptophyta; Magnoliopsida; Malpighiales; Euphorbiaceae.
CUGUUAUUAUUGCAAGCCAAAUCACUGAUUCCCAUUUGGAGAUCUCUGGAGUUUCAUUGUCAUUGUCGUCUGUACUCUCCCCAUUCUGACUCCCUUCCUCUGGAAUAGGAACAUAUAUAUCCUUUUGACUCCUUAACUGGAAAAAAAGAUAGGCAGCAUACACCACAAGCAUAACACAACUGCUAAAUCUUGAAAGAGCCAACUCUGACUUCCCAUAAUGCACCUCAGUGUGUGUGUAGUGCAAGACAGCAGGAAAAAGCAGCCCCAUUACAGCCAUCAAGAGCAAUCCCGAAUUCACAAUAGCAGUUGCCUUGUUAAAGACUUGUUCCUUUUGAUAAAACACAAGUCCACCACAGAAGAAUGCACAACCAAGUACUAGCAACAUGUUUGACAAAAUAGAGCCUAGCAAUGACAACUGAACAACACGUAUCAUUCUACUUUUCAAUGCAUAAAUUGCAAUAAUCAGUUCUGUUGCAUUUCCAAAUGUGGCAUUAAGAAGACCACCAACUGUAGGUCCCGUGUAAAAUGCCAGCUGCUCUGUAGCAUAACCUAAACGCUCAGCCAAAGGUGUUAUACCCAAUAA